GAUGAACGCUGGCGGCGUGCCUAAUACAUGCAAGUCGAGCGAACGGACGAGAAGCUUGCUUCUCUGAUGUUAGCGGCGGACGGGUGAGUAACACGUGGAGAACCUACCUAUAAGACUGGGAUAACUUCGGGAAACCGGAGCUAAUACCGGAUGAUAUUUUGAACCGCAUGGUUCAAAAGUGAAAGACGGUCUUGCUGUCACUUAUAGAUGUAUCCGCGCUGCAUUAGCUAGUUGGUAAGGUAACGGCUUACCAAGGCAACGAUGCAUAGCCGACCUGAGAGGGUGAUCGGCAACACUGGAACUGAGACACGGUCCAGACUCCUACGGGAGGCAGCAGUAGGGAAUCUUCCGCAAUGGGCGAAAGCCUGACGGAGCAACGCCGCGUGAGUGAUGAAGGUCUUCGGAUCGUAAAACUCUGUUAUUAGGGAAGAACAUAUGUGUAAGUAACUGUGCACAUCUUGACGGUACCUAAUCAGAAAGCCACGGCUAACUACGUG
RNAcentral lists this ribosomal RNA (497 nucleotides) under uncultured bacterium. RNAcentral's name for it is "partial 16S ribosomal RNA". It matches the Rfam family "Bacterial small subunit ribosomal RNA", at positions 28 to 507 of the family's 1533-position model. The record is from RNAcentral.